CCUACGGGUGGCAGCAGUCGAGAAUCAUUCACAAUGGGGGAAACCCUGAUGGUGCGACGCCGCGUGGGGGAAUGAAGGUCUUCGGAUUGUAAACCCCUGUCAUGUGGGAGCAAAUUAAAAAGAUAGUACCACAAGAGGAAGAGACGGCUAACUCUGUGCCAGCAGCCGCGGUAAUACAGAGGUCUCAAGCGUUGUUCGGAAUCACUGGGCGUAAAGCGUGCGUAGGAUGUUUCGUAAGUCGUGUGUGAAAGGUGGGGGCUCAACCCUCGGACGGCACAUGAUACUGCGAGACUAGAGUAUGGGAGAGGGAACCGGAAUGCUCGGUGUAGCAGUGAAAUGCGUAGAUAUCGAGAAGAACACUCGUGGCGAAGGCGGGUUCCUAGACCUUAACUGACGCUGAGGCACGAAGGCCAGGGGAGCGAAAGGGAUUAGAUACCCCGGUAGUC
RNAcentral lists this ribosomal RNA (446 nucleotides) under uncultured bacterium. RNAcentral describes it as "partial 16S ribosomal RNA". It matches the Rfam family "Bacterial small subunit ribosomal RNA", at positions 338 to 795 of the family's 1533-position model. The record is from RNAcentral.